ACAGAUAUAAAAUUACUGAGACAUCUAUCAAUAGACAAAUUUAUUAACCCUUAACUCUAGCACAUGGUAACGAUUAAUCAUGAUAGUAGCCUAAACAUAAACUUAGCUAUUGGUCUAUGUUUGAUCAAGUGUCUUGCUUCAACAGUCCAUAUUACAACAUAAGAACUGGGCUAAACUACAACAAUUAGACUAAACUACAUAUGAAUCAAAUAACAUAGAAGGUAACAUCAUGGAAGAACUAUAGAUAUGUCACAAAUAGAUCUACUACCACUACUUAACACUGCCUUUUAUUCCAUCUUCAAACUGAAAUUACAUCAUAAAGGACUUGGAAUUUGUACCUGGAGAUUAAAGGAAAAAGGUGAAGAAUCAGCACAGCAAUAAAACAAUAGCUCCAGCAACAGGAAAACACCAGUUUUUGGCACUUAAACCCAGGAAAUUAACUCAGGAAAAAACAAUGAAAGAUCAACACUCAACUACCUUGGACCAAAAACAUUAGUAACCCACCAUCACUCUUUUGAAUAUCAUAAUAAGAGUUUGUUUGUUUUCUUUAAAAAUGAAAUGAAUCAUUGAAAUUUCAAUGGAACAGUACAACUACUAUCAAACUUUUUGCUACUUCAAUUUUAUGUAUUUAUUAGCUCUCCAAAAUCUGAAUUCAUCUUAGAAUAGCA
RNAcentral lists this long non-coding RNA (668 nucleotides) under Nicotiana benthamiana. RNAcentral's name for it is "long non-coding RNA (NBEN_LNC032706)". Lineage: Eukaryota; Viridiplantae; Streptophyta; Magnoliopsida; Solanales; Solanaceae. The record is from RNAcentral.